CCAUGCAAAAUAACAAAACAUGUUCAAUAAAGAUAUUCUUCAAAACAAUAUUACACACCAACUGAACAUGUAGCACUGGAACAUAUGUACUGUUAUUAAGCAGUGUGUUGUCAUCAUCAAAAACUAGUUUGAUAUGGAGUUUGUGUCGUCAAAAAUCUCAACAUUCAUGACUUUAAAAGCUAACAUCUCCUCCCUUAAACUUGCAUUGCAUAAAUAAACAUGUUGCCC
Molecule: long non-coding RNA, 228 nt
Filed under: Vigna radiata
Lineage: Eukaryota; Viridiplantae; Streptophyta; Magnoliopsida; Fabales; Fabaceae
Description: long non-coding RNA (VRAD_LNC014088)
Source: RNAcentral